AUAUAUUAUAAUAAUUUAAUAUUAUAUUACACGAAUAUGUGCGAGCUAAAAAAAUUUAUAUAUUAGUAUAUAUAAUAGUUGUAACAAUAACUUCCAGAAAAUACUUUUAGGGGUGAAAGGCCUACCAAGCGCAUGGAUAACUUGAUAGGUAGGAAACAUACUUAGUAUUACGUCAAACCAACAAUGGUAAGGUUUUUGGUAGGUACUAAUGGUUAAGUUAUUUUACUUUACUGAUUAAAAUCUAAAAGUUUCCUUUUUAUAUUAUUAUCCUAAGUAAUGUUGUACCUAUUACUACCAAUUGAUAUUAGAUUCAAUAUAUUAUAUAUAAUGUAUAUAUUAGUAUUUAAUUAACUUUUUAUAAGGAACUCGGCAAAAAUUUUUUUCGACUGUUUACCAAAAACAUAGCCCUAAGUUAUUAUUUAGGGUUAGCCCUGCUCAAUGGAAUUCUAAAUAGCCGCAGUACCUUGACUGUGCAAAGGUAGCAUAAUAAGUUGGCUUAUAAUUGAAGUCUGGUAUGAAAGGGUUUACGGAAAUUUACUGUCUCAAAGAAAUUCUAGAAUUUACUUAUUAAGUGAAAAUUCUUAUAUAUAGAAAAUAGACGAGAAGACCCUAGAAAUUUUUUAGAGAUUUUUAAUUAAUAUUUUGUUGGGGCGACAAGGUAACAUUUAACUUACCAAUAGAAGUGGGAAAAUAUUUAUUUGAAUAACAAAAUUACUCUAGGGAUAACAGCAUUAUUUACAUAUAAGUUUGUGACCUCGAUGUUGGACUAGGACCUAUUUUACCUAAAAAGUAAAAUAUUUGGCUCUGUUCGAGCUUGGUUUCCUACAUGAUCUGAGUUCAGACCGG
RNAcentral lists this ribosomal RNA (846 nucleotides) under Plicuteria lubomirskii. RNAcentral's name for it is "partial 16S ribosomal RNA". The stretch from base 348 to 553 matches the Rfam family "Archaeal large subunit ribosomal RNA", at positions 1792 to 2108 of the family's 2987-position model. The record is from RNAcentral. Lineage: Eukaryota; Metazoa; Mollusca; Gastropoda; Stylommatophora; Hygromiidae.